Molecule: ribosomal RNA, 235 nt
Filed under: uncultured bacterium
Lineage: Bacteria
Description: partial 16S ribosomal RNA
Rfam family: Bacterial small subunit ribosomal RNA
Source: RNAcentral
AGCGAAUCUCCAAAAAUUAGUCCCAGUUCAGAUUGCAGGCUGCAACUCGCCUGCAUGAAGUCGGAAUUGCUAGUAAUCGUGGAUCAGCAUGCCACGGUGAAUACGUUCCCGGGCCUUGUACACACCGCCCGUCACACCAUGGGAGUCGGUAACACCCGAAGCCUGUAGUCUAACCGCAAGGAGGACGCAGUCGAAGGUGGGAUUGAUGACUGGGGUGAAGUCGUAACAAGGUAAC